GAAGUUGACUAGGCAGUCGCUCGCUGUGCGGCUGAGGUUCGGGAUAUCCGAAUUUUGGCGGUGGCGAGAGGAAAGUCCGGGCUCCACAGAGCAGGGUGCCGGCUAACAGCCGGACGCCGCGAGGCGAUGGAAAGUGGCACAGAAAAUAUACCGCCGAUGGCCGCAAGGUACAGGUAAGGUUGAAAAGGUGCUCUCCGUAAGGAGAGGGCAGGUGUGAACCUGUCGGGUAAGAGCCCACCGCACUGGUGGCAACAUUCAGUGGCAGGCUAAACCCCACCCGGAGCAAGACCAAAUAGGGAAACAUUGGCGCUGCUCGCGUUGUUUCCGGGUAGGUUGCUCGAGCGCCGUGGCAACGCGGCGCCUAGAUAGAUGACUGUCCACGACAGAACCCGGCUUAUCGGUCAGCUUUCACC
RNAcentral lists this RNase P RNA (413 nucleotides) under Burkholderiales bacterium. Its description in RNAcentral is "RNase P RNA component class A". It matches the Rfam family "Bacterial RNase P class A". From Rfam's summary of the family: Ribonuclease P (RNase P) is a ubiquitous endoribonuclease, found in archaea, bacteria and eukarya as well as chloroplasts and mitochondria. Its best characterised activity is the generation of mature 5'-ends of tRNAs by cleaving the 5'-leader elements of precursor-tRNAs. Lineage: Bacteria; Pseudomonadati; Pseudomonadota; Betaproteobacteria; Burkholderiales. The record is from RNAcentral.